RNAcentral lists this ribosomal RNA (370 nucleotides) under uncultured organism. RNAcentral describes it as "bacterial SSU rRNA". It matches the Rfam family "Bacterial small subunit ribosomal RNA", at positions 526 to 896 of the family's 1533-position model. The record is from RNAcentral.
CGGAGGGUGCGAGUCGUUGUCCGGAUUUAUUGGGUUUAAAGGGUGCGUAGGUGGCUGUUUAAGUCAGUGGUGAAAUACGGUUGCUCAACAAUCGAGGUGCCAUUGAUACUGAAUAGCUUGAAAUAAUUGGAGGCUGCCGGAAUGGAUGGUGUAGCGGUGAAAUGCAUAGGAUAUCAUCCAGAACACCAAUUGCGAAGGCAGGUGGCUACGAUUUAUUUGACACUGAGGCACGAAAGCAUGGGGAGCAAACAGGAUUAGAUACCCUGGUAGUCCGUGCCGUAAACGAUGAGGACUCGCUGUUGGUGUUCAUGCAUCAGCGGCUUAGGGAAACCGUUAAGUCCUCCACCUGGGGAGUACGCCGGCAACGGUG